AAUCAUUUCUGUUAUUGAUUUUUAUAGCUAAUAUGAAAUUUCUGGUUGCCUUUGAUUUCAAGUGCGAUGAAUAUUGUGAAUGCACACAAGGGAAAAAAAUUCAAGAAAACAGCAAGUUGGGAAGUGGUUAAGGGUCCUAUCCAGCCUGAUGCAUCUCAAUGUGGAUUUUAUGUCAUGAAGUUCAUGAAAGAGAUCAUAACACGCUAUGAACUUAAUGCCUACACGUCUCUAUCAUCGAUGUUUAAGAAUGUUAAGACAUACACCGAAGCUGAAAUCGAUGAUAUUCGUGAGGAAUGGGCAACUUUUGUGAUAAAGCAUGUGUUUGCUUGAACUUUAGGAAUGGAGCAGAUGAUAGGAAAGAUAGAAGUUCCCGGGAACUACAAUCCUUAUUUACAACAAGAAGACUACAACAUGGAUGGAUAACCGUAUAGAUCUCUUGACUUGUGGUAUAUGUGCUUUAUGAACUGAAAAUAUUAGUUUCUUCUACUCGAACUCGGAGAAUGCUGACCUUGUCGUCUUGAACUGCAUUUUGUCUGGCCUCGUUGCUUUAAAUUACUCAUGUAUUGGACUGCAUUUUGCCCUGUAGAUUAACAGAUCUUACUUUUGAAUCUUUGAUGAUUGUUUUUGCAACUUCUGAAUGUUAAUAUUAUGUUCUCAAUGUUAUUUUA
This is a long non-coding RNA of Salvia miltiorrhiza (redroot sage), 668 nucleotides long. RefSeq lists it as uncharacterized. Lineage: Eukaryota; Viridiplantae; Streptophyta; Magnoliopsida; Lamiales; Lamiaceae. The record is from RefSeq and is a predicted model, not a curated record. The transcript has 4 exons.